GGAUGCGAUCAUACCAGCACUAAAGCACCGGAUCCCAUCAGAACUCCGAAGCUAAGCGUGCUUGGGUGAGAGUAGUACUAGGAUGGGUGACCUCCUGGGAAGUCCUCGUGUUGCAUUCC
Molecule: ribosomal RNA, 119 nt
Filed under: Triticum aestivum (bread wheat)
Lineage: Eukaryota; Viridiplantae; Streptophyta; Magnoliopsida; Poales; Poaceae
Source: RNAcentral